This 315-nucleotide ribosomal RNA is filed under the name uncultured Glomus. RNAcentral's name for it is "SSU rRNA". It matches the Rfam family "Eukaryotic small subunit ribosomal RNA", at positions 782 to 1092 of the family's 1831-position model. The record is from RNAcentral. Lineage: Eukaryota; Fungi; Glomeromycota; Glomeromycetes; Glomerales; Glomeraceae.
AAGCUAACGCUUGAAUACAUUAGCAUGGAAUAAUGAAAUAGGACGUUUGACCCUACUUUGUUGGUUUCUUAGGAUCGACGUAAUGAUUAAUAGGGAUAGUUUGGGGGCGAUUAGUAUUCAAUUGUCAGAGGUGAAAUUCUUGGAUUUAUUGAAGACUAACUACUGCGAAAGCAUUUGCCAAGGAUGUUUUCAUUAAUCAAGAACGAAAGUUAGGGGAUCGAAGACGAUCAGAUACCGUCGUAGUCUUAACCAUAAACUAUGCCGACUAGGGAUCGGAUGAUGUUAAUUUUAUAAUGACUCAUUCGGCGCCUUACG